UUAACUAUUAUGUUUUACUCGGACAAUAAUAUUAACAAGAGUUUCAGGUCCUCUGGCAGGCACUGACCAGCUUAAGCCGGUGGUCUAAAGACGGGCAUGCCAAAGCAACAAAGAUAAGAUAAACAAAGGGUGGAGUGUUACGAUGUGGCCGAGUUUCCCCGAUCCUUCGUUGACUCUUUAAUGAUCCUUCCGCAGGUUCACCUACGGAAA
RNAcentral lists this unclassified non-coding RNA (210 nucleotides) under uncultured fungus. RNAcentral describes it as "sequence contains ITS1". Lineage: Eukaryota; Fungi. The record is from RNAcentral.